AACCAUAGAAACCUGCGGAGUACCUGCGGAAGGAUCAUUACUGAGUUAGGGUGCCCCAAAAGCGCCCGACCUCCCAACCCUUUGUCUACCUGACCUAUUGUUGCUUCGGCAGGCCCGCCGCCCUCCUCCGGGGGGGAUGGCCGCCGGGGGAGUCCCCCUCCCCGGGCCCGCGCCUGCCGACGGCCCCAACCACAAAACUCUUGUUUAACCGUGUCGUCUGAGUACCACAAACAAAAUAAA
This 240-nucleotide unclassified non-coding RNA is filed under the name soil metagenome. RNAcentral's name for it is "partial contains 5.8S ribosomal RNA, internal transcribed spacer 2, and large subunit ribosomal RNA". The record is from RNAcentral.